RNAcentral lists this ribosomal RNA (618 nucleotides) under uncultured bacterium. RNAcentral describes it as "bacterial SSU rRNA". It matches the Rfam family "Bacterial small subunit ribosomal RNA", at positions 539 to 1160 of the family's 1533-position model. The record is from RNAcentral.
CGUUAUCCGGAUUCAUUGGGUUUAAAGGGUGCGCAGGCGGAUUGGUAAGUCAGGGGUGAAAUCCCACAGCUCAACUGUGGAACUGCCUUUGAUACUGUCAGUCUAGAGUAUAGUUGAAGUUGGCGGAAUGUGUCAUGUAGCGGUGAAAUGCUUAGAUAUGACACAGAACACCGAUCGCGAAGGCAGCUAGCUAAGCUAUAACUGACGCUCAUGCACGAAAGCGUGGGGAUCAAACAGGAUUAGAUACCCUGGUAGUCCACGCUGUAAACGAUGAUUACUCGAUGUUGGCGAUACACAGUCAGCGUCUGAGCGAAAGCAAUAAGUAAUCCACCUGGGGAGUACGAUCGCAAGAUUGAAACUCAAAGGAAUUGACGGGGGCCCGCACAAGCGGAGGAGCAUGUGGUUUAAUUCGAUGAUACGCGAGGAACCUUACCUGGGCUCGAACGUAAGAUGACUGUAGGUGAAAGCUUACAUCUCUUCGGAGCAUUUUACGAGGUGCUGCAUGGUUGUCGUCAGCUCGUGCCGUGAGGUGUCGGGUUAAGUCCCAUAACGAGCGCAACCCCUACCUUUAGUUGCCAUCAGGUCAUGCUGGGGACUCUAAAGGAACUGCCUACGCAA